CCGUCCCUCCCUCGGCCUCCCCCGAAGGCCCCGAGGCGGUCCGGGCCCCAGGCCUCUGCUUUCCCGGCUGCGAAACUCGGGAAGGAACGGGGCUGUGUUGUGAUCCGAGGCCGCGCGUCCCGUUCGGCUUCCUCUGGGCCACUCCCCACCCCUCUCCUUCUCCGGGCCAGGUGUAACAUUUUGUCUUCCCUUUUCAACUGAGGGUUUAAAACAGUGUUUCAGAUAACUGUCAAAACGCUAUGCAUGCAAAACCCUAGGUUAACUUAAGGGAAGGAGUAGGAGAGAAGAGGGGAAGGAGCGAAGUUCACUGGUCACUUCUGUGGGGGUGGGUUAGAUGGUCACAGUGGUGAACGCUUAACUGCUACAUGGCCCCGUGCGCUUACCAGCAUAGUCGUUACUGUUACUAACCCCGGACAGCACUGGUGUUAAGGAGGCAUGACCACGGACCGUGUGCUCAUUGAGCUUAAUUUUACACAAACUAAGAUUUCCACAGAAUCAAGACAGGCAGUAAACGCCAGCUGCGGAGGACAGCUUGUGCAGGGUUGGGGAACAGCAUGGCAUGAUCAGAACUUUAGUUUGACUGGCUUGAAAUGUAGAGGGAAAGGGAAAUUUCACACUGAUGAAUCAGAGAGGAGAUAGCUGUUUUUAUUAAACUAAAAUGGUUAAAUGAGCCUUGUUGGUUAAUGAUUUGCCUUAGCAAUGUGAAUUUGGAUUCUGCAAGUAUUUUAUAAGUUCUGUAAGAAGCUUGUUUUAAAAUUUCAAAACUCUUAAGAUAUUAGAAGUUCAGUUUUAUUUUAUAAGAAUUUUUUAAAAAGUGUUUAUUUAACUCAAUUAGAACUGAGUUCCUUUAACAUAGACUUUAUUAUCUCAUGUAUUAAUACCCUCUAGAGGUACACAAUGAAAAAUGUGAUUUAUAAACAGACACAUACAGACACAAGGAAAACAGAGUAUAUAGCUUCAGUAACAGUUUAAGAGAAAAGUCAGAAACAGAAAUUUUCCCUGGUCAAAAUAUCAAAAAAAGCAUCUGGGGCUUAUAUCCUUUAAUUGAUUUGAGCUCUAAAUGGACAAAUACACAUUUUUUUUUUUUAAAUUGCUAAGAACAAGAUCCUUUUUCACGUUGAAUAAUGAUUUUGAAGUUUAAAUAAAUACCAACAAUAGAGCUAUGAGGGAGGAAAAAUAUAAAAUACUGAUUUUUUUUUUAAUCUCACUGUAAGGUGCAUUCUUAAAUACAUAGGAGAGAACUGUCAUGAUUUGCGCAACUCGCUUGCAAAUAGUUCAACAGUAUUAACAAUGAUUGAAUUUAGAUGGUGGGCAUAUGGGAAUUUAUCAUCCUAUUAAACAGUUUUCUGUACUUCUGAGACUUAGAAUAAAACAUUGGAAGGAACCUGUUAGACAUAAUGCUCUAUGUGAAGUAAUUUGUUCCCUUUGUGAAAUUCUAGGAAGGUUAAAAUGCAUGUUCAUAACAUCAAGAAAAUCACAAGCAUUUACGAUGUAAUCAGAACUACCUGAGGAUCUGUGAAACUUGAUGUGUUAUUCUGGGAGAUCAUCAGGACUUCUGGGUAUUUGGAGGUACUGACCUAACCAGUGGAACUGCUGAUUUAUAAGAAGUUGUCCAGAAUUUUGGAAAACUGAUUAGUAGAGGCUGGAGACCGAGAAGAACUACCAUUUUUGCCAGCUGGGAUGCAGAAAAAUUUGGACUUCUGGGUUCCAUAAAUGGGCUGAGCUCUGUCAUAAUGGAAACUCUGCAGCAGAAUCAGCUGUCAUCUAUCCCGUGUGGCCAAGUGCAGAGGUGAGAAUUCUCAUUUGUGGGAUGACCACUCACAGCUUUAAAUGUUUUUACUGUAACUGCUCUUAUAAGGUAGCAAGCUAGAGAGAGAGAGAGAGAGAAACAGAGAGAAGAAAAGAGUUCUCUCUGCAUAUUCCCAUGUGUGUGAUGGCAUUAGUCUUCUUCUGCUGUAUUUUUCUAGAAUGUGUGUGCGUGUGUGCAUGUAUGUGUGAGAGAGAAAUGUCUUGUCUUUGUCCUAAUAGCCACUCUUCUCUCCCUCUAGUUUUUUCUCUAUCCUCCCCUCCUUUCUUUUUCUUUUUCAUCAAUAUCUUCUCUUUCAAAAAAUUCUUGAUAAAUCAAAUUUCCAACUUCCUCACUUUUAAUAUGGUAAAGUUACUUGGAUCCCCAACGUCAAGGGAUCUCAUACUUUAAUGUCUGUAAGGAUUGCCAGGGACACCAUUUAAAAGUACAGAUUUCCAGGCCUUACUUU
Camelus dromedarius (Arabian camel) is the source of this 2255-nucleotide long non-coding RNA. RefSeq lists it as uncharacterized. NCBI's taxonomy places the organism in Eukaryota, Metazoa, Chordata, Mammalia, Artiodactyla, Camelidae. The record is from RefSeq and is a predicted model, not a curated record. The transcript is spliced from 4 exons.